GAUCAUGGCUCAGAACGAACGCUGGCGGCAUGCCUAACACAUGCAAGUCGAACGAAGCCUUCGGGCUUAGUGGCGCACGGGUGCGUAACGCGUGGGAAUCUGCCCCUCGGUUCGGAAUAACAGUUAGAAAUGACUGCUAAUACCGGAUGAUGACGAAAGUCCAAAGAUUUAUCGCCGAGGGAUGAGCCCGCGUAGGAUUAGCUUGUUGGUGGGGUAAUGGCCCACCAAGGCGACGAUCCUUAGCUGGUCUGAGAGGAUGAUCAGCCACACUGGGACUGAGACACGGCCCAGACUCCUACGGGAGGCAGCAGUGGGGAAUAUUGGACAAUAGGCGAAAGCCUGAUCCAGCAAUGCCGCGUGAGUGAUGAAGGCCUUAGGGUUGUAAAGCUCUUUUACCAGGGAUGAUAAUGACAGUACCUGGAGAAUAAGCUCCGGCUAACUCCGUG
RNAcentral lists this ribosomal RNA (446 nucleotides) under uncultured bacterium. RNAcentral's name for it is "bacterial SSU rRNA". It matches the Rfam family "Bacterial small subunit ribosomal RNA", at positions 15 to 507 of the family's 1533-position model. The record is from RNAcentral.